AUAGAAAAUAUAUUUAUUAUUUCUUUUAUCAAGCAAAUAGUGGCCUUGAUGUUUGAGCAGGCUUCCUGUAUUCCAGGUCUUCCCACUGCACAAGUCAGGCAAGCUCCCAAAUCCAGGGACCGUGGGUUUGGCAGAGCAAAACCUGCCCCAGUGCCUCUCACAGAUGUGCCAGAGGAGCAUCCUGUAGGUGUCCCACAGCAGAAGAGUCCUGAGCCCAGAGCAGACCCCUGUUCCACAGUGGAGCUUGGCUGUGGUGCUGGAGCAUCCCCUCGCUCUAGGGUUCCUCACAAAAAGGCCACCAGUGUCCCCACGGAGCCUGUGGAGAGCUGCAGAGAUCCCCCCCAGGAAAACUGGGAUUUGGAAGGUGCCAUGGUGAAGAAAAAGAAAAAGAAACCAAAACAAAGGAGAAACCAGCUGCCAAGAGGGAUGGAGUUCUGGGAGGAGAAUGGAACCUGCAGAGGAGCCAGGAGUGCUCCCUUUGGGGGGGAGUGGCAGAACCCAGCCAUGUGUCCUGGAACAGCCCCUGGAAGCAGAGCUCUGGAUGUGCCACAGGAUGCUAAAAUAACAGCUGGGAGUCAUAUCCUGGAGGAGAAAAACACCUUCCUUGUGCCAGCCCCAGGACAGCAGGGCCCCAAAUCCAGCGUGCUGGAUGGCAGCCCCAGGGAGGAGAUGGAGCCAGAGGGAAGGAGAGCUGCCAGCUGCAUGCUGGGGUCUAAGGGCCAGGGCAAAGAGGGCAGGGCUGAGGUGCAGGAAUCUGCUGCAGCCAAGGAGCCCAGCAAGGCCACGGAGAGAGACUUCCCCAGGAAAAAUGAGAAGAGAGAGGACAAGGAGUCAAAAGGUGCCGAGCUGAAGGUCAAUCUGAGCACAGCAGGAGCUCCCUUACAGACCAAACCUGUGGAAUUGCCUCUGUCCCAUAAAAACAAGGAGCCCAAAUCCCCAUCUCCAGGGCAGGAAGCACCCGGUGACUCUGUCCAGCCUUCCCUGGUAACAGCAGCCAAGAAAAAGUGGGAAAAAAGCAAAGGGUUUGAAAGGGAACCCCUCAAACAGCCUCACCUGAAGGCUGCAGCCAUGGACAAGCUCCCUGCAGAGCCAAAGGCAGCUGCAGAAAGUGAAAGAGGGUCAGAGGGAGCACUGAGGAGCCCAACAGACAGAGCUCCUGGAGCUCCUGUUCCAGUUCCAGCAGAAGCUGGGGAAGUUCCAGCUGGGCAGGGCAGGGCCCAGGGUGUCCCCAAACCUCCCAGCCCUGGUGAGGCAGGGGGCAGGGGGGUGGCAGCAGAUCCAAAGCAGGGGAAAGGGUUCCCUGGUUGUGAGCAGCAGGCUGGGACAGAGCCCAGCCUGGCACACAGCACAGACAGGCCAAAGAAAAAGCGCAGUGAAGGGAAAGGCAAAAGAAUGAAAAGCUGCUCAGAGCAGGUGAUGCUCUCAGAGGAUGGAGGCAAAUGCACUGAUGGAGCAAGGGCGGAUGAGGCUGGGAAGGAAACAGUUUAUCCUGAAAAUGGCCAGGCUGUUCCUGCCAGAGGACACCCCUCAGGCAGCCCUGCACAGGCCUGUCCUGCAGACAAGCCCAAAAAAAGAGGCAGUGAUGGAAGGAGCAAAAAGGGGGAAAGGAGCUUUUUCCAGCAGCCUUUCCUCGAGAAUAAGAUGGACUCAGGGAGUUUUCCUGAGGGAGCUGAUAAGGUGAAGGAGGGCAGUGAUAAGGGCAGAGAGCAGGGCUGUGUCCCUGCUGGGGGCUUGCAGGAAAAUGCAGCUAAAAUGCAAAGGCCAAUUGAGCUGGGACCGGAGAAACAGAACGAAAACGUUGGCAAAGGUGAAACAGCUGAUUUGGGAGCUUUAGACCAAGCUUUGCUGCUGGAGAAGAGCAGAGAGGAAGCCAAAAAUCCUGCUCUGGCUGCCACCACAGAGCAGGUGGGUUUGGCUGGGAAAGGCAGAGAGGCCGGAGCUGCUGGGCUCAGCUCGGAUGUGCCAGUGCUGGCAGAGAAACCCAGGAAGAGGAGCAGUGAUGGGAGAAGGAAACAGCCUGAGAAAAGCCCCUCUGGGCAGGCAGCUGUCCUGGGGGCUGGGGGGGAAGGCAGGCAGGAGCAGGUGGCUGCAGGCAGGAAGGAAAUGGGCUUGGCUGAGGAGAAGGGGCCUGGUUUGCAAAGAGAGAGGCUGGAGGAGGAGCUGGGGAAGCCCAAAAUCCAGGGUGGCACUGGGAGCUUCUCUGAGCAGCCAAAUCUUCCAGGCCAGAAAUCAGAGACUUCAGAGCCAGAAAUAGGGAAAGGAAACUUGGAAACUAAGGAAACUUGGCCUGUGAAUAAAGGGAAGGAAGCAGAUAAAUCCCCAGGGCACAGGGCAGGGAUGCACAGUCCCACCAGGGAGCUGGGCAUGGACAAGCCCAAGGGUAAAAGCAGAGAUGGGAAAGGCAAAAAGGCUGAGCACAGCCCUGAGCUGCAGGCAGGUGACUUCCCUGCAGUGGGACAUGUUCAACAAACUCAGUCUGAGGAGGGCAAAGAGAAUUCCAGGACUCCAGAGGUGCUGCUGGGUCACCUGCCUGAUCCUGCCAAGGCACAGGCUCCUGCUUUGCCUCUGGAGCCAGGGAAGUCACACACAGGUGGGGAAGAGAAGCACAGAAAGGGGGAGCCUGACCCCCAGCUGGAGCAUAAAGCAGGAGCAGGGAUGUUCCCUCCUGCUGGCCUGGAGAUCAGGGAUAAACCUGAGGCAGGAGGUGCCAGUCCUUGCAGCAGGGAUAAAAAUCCUAUUCCAGAGCAUCCAGCAGUGUCAGAUCCCAGCCUGGCCCCAGUCACUGAGAGAUCUAAAAAGAGGGGCUAUGAUGGAAGCAGUAAAAAGGCUAAAAAUGCCUCCAGGCAGCCUGUUCCUCUGGAGGCAGAAUCAGACAGGAGUGAGGCACAGCCUGCCAUGGGAGCUGGGCUGGAAUGUGGGGUGGAAGACACAGAUCUUGUAGAUGAAAACAGAAACAUUAAAAACUUUCCCACUGGCCCUCAAAGACUUGGGAAUAAUAAAGGAAGGGACUUGAAAUCCAUGUCUCAGAGCCCAGCAAGUGGCCCUGGGGGUGGGGGUGAUGCUCCCUGUGGCCUCCCAAAGCAGAGAGAGGGGGGUGCAGGGACUGGGGGCCUUCCUCCUCCUCCUCCUCCUCCUCCUCUGGAAGCAGUGGCAGAGAAAAGCAGCAAAGAGCCUGGAGCUGGUGCUAAGGAGGAGAUGCAGACCCAGAGAUCUCAUGAGCAGCCCAAAGAACCUGGAAAAGAGGUUUCCCAGAAAGGUGGGAAGAGCAGAGAGCCUGGUUCCCAGGGUGGCCAGCCCGAGGACAAAAGUCACCUUUGUCCCUUGGCAAAGGUGGGUGAUAAAGAAAUAAAACCCACUGAUACAAAGGUGGGUGAUAAAGAAAUAAAACCCACUGAUACAAAGGUGGGUGAUAAAGAAAUAAAACCCACUGAUACAAAGGUGGGUGAUAAAGAAAUAAAACCCACUGAUACAAAGCACAACACUGCCAAGGCUCCCUCAGAGCUUCCUCAUGAGGCAGCAGAUCCAAAACACAGAGCAGCCUCUGGAGCUGCUGAGGGGACAGAGGGACCAGAGGCCACCAUGUCCUGUGCAGAGAAGGGCACAGGGAGGUCCCCAGCCCCUGCAGGGACACCUGGCAGCACAGGGAGCAUCUCCCCAGCCCCUGCAGGGACACCUGUGGCUGUGCCAGGAGCUGGCAAGGACAGGAAGGCUGGAGGGGCUGAGCAGGGCAGGGACAUGAAGAAUGAGCAGAGCUCACCCCAACACCAGAGCACUCCCAGCACUGAGCCUGAGGCUGCUGGGACAGCUGCCCAAACUACCCAAAACCAGCCUAAAGAGAACAAAAAAGGUCCCUGUCAGCCUGCAGAGGAGGGCCCUGCUCUCCUGAAGGAUGCUCCUCGUGCUGGGGAGGUUCUCCUGAAGGUCUCUCCAGUGUCAAAGUCUGAGGGGAAUAAACCUCAAGAGAAAACCAAGGAAAAGGAUUCUCCAGCCAAAACCAAAGAAAAGGAGUCUCAGGACACAAGUAAAGAAAGAGAAACUCAAAAUACAACUAAAGAAAAGGAAUCUCAAGACAUAACCAAAGAGAAGGAAUCUCAAGACAUAACUAAAGAAAAGAAGUCUCAGGACACAACUAAAGAAAAAGAAUCUCAGGACACAAUUAAAGAGAAGGAAUCUCAAGAAGUAACUAAAGAAAAGGAAUCUCAGGACACAACUAAAGAGAAAGAAUCUCAAGAAAUAACUAAAGAAAAGGAAUCUCAAGAGACAGCCAAAGAAAAAGAAUCUCAGGACACAACCAAAGAGAAGGAAUCUCAAGAAGCAACUAAAGAAAAGGAAUCUCGAGCCCCAGCUAAAGAGACAGAAGAAGAAGGAGAACAGAAAGUGGUGAAAGAGGCAAAGAAAGAGAGAAUGAAGGCAGCAGAGCAGCUCAAGGGCUACAUGAGACCCACCAAGGCGCGGGGGGUGCCAGCCCUGGUGCCAGCCCUGGCGGGCAGAGCCGUGCCCCGGGGGCAGGACAGAGGCAAGGCAGAGGAGCCCAAAGCAGCCGAGGCCGUGAGUGGGAACGACAUCACAGCUCCUCCCAACAAGGAGCUGCCCCCCAGCCCCGAGAAGAAGACCAAGGUAGGAGCUGUUCCCUGCUCCCAUCUCUGCUCCCAGGGCUUUCAUUUCCCAGCUUUUCUGCUUCCUCAGCUGUGCCAGCCCCACUUCUGUUUUCUGA
This is a long non-coding RNA of Geospiza fortis (medium ground-finch), 4714 nucleotides long. NCBI's taxonomy places the organism in Eukaryota, Metazoa, Chordata, Aves, Passeriformes, Thraupidae. The record is from Ensembl.